GGACGAGUAGCUGAGACGGAGUAGCGUCUGGCUGAAAACCAGAAGACGGAGAUUCGAGCGCUCCCUCGUCCA
This 72-nucleotide transfer RNA is filed under the name Blastopirellula retiformator. It matches the Rfam family "tRNA". Rfam says of the family: Transfer RNA (tRNA) molecules are approximately 80 nucleotides in length. Their secondary structure includes four short double-helical elements and three loops (D, anti-codon, and T loops). RNAcentral also lists the same sequence under 1 other name. The record is from Rfam by way of RNAcentral. Lineage: Bacteria; Pseudomonadati; Planctomycetota; Planctomycetia; Pirellulales; Pirellulaceae.